This 19089-nucleotide long non-coding RNA is filed under the name Populus trichocarpa (black cottonwood). Its description in RNAcentral is "long non-coding RNA (PTRI_LNC002386)". Lineage: Eukaryota; Viridiplantae; Streptophyta; Magnoliopsida; Malpighiales; Salicaceae. The record is from RNAcentral.
UCAGAGUCAACCGACGAUAUUAUGGCUUCCAACUCUUGCUUCCGUCGUUGCAGGUUAGUUGUAAGAUUAGUCUCUAGCUCUGCUUUUCUUGUUUCAGUCCAUGUAAUGAAAAAUGCACAUUCAUGGGAAACAGAACACAUUCCACAAAGGACACUGCAAUUACUACUAGACAAGGUUGAGAUUUCUAACCUCGAUGCGAUCUGUUCUGCAGGUAAUAAGCUUCUCUUUAAGGGUCUUUUAUUUCAGGGUUGAGUUGGGAUAGUUCACAUUUUUCCUCUGGUGUCAAGUGAACAAUGAGCUCUGUGCCCAUCUCAGCUGGUUUCAUGACCAUACCGGCAUUAAGCUGAUCUAUUUGAUUCCGGACAUCUGCAAGUGAUUUUUCCUAUAAAUUGGGUCCAUUGAAAGAGGAAUAAGAAUACUAACACCAAUAAUGUAAUGGAUGCUAAAGAAAGGAUAAUCUGCCAGUGGUAAGGUAAGGGUGACUUGACAGUCUAAAUGUACCUUAUUUUCAAGAGCCUUGGAAAUGAAUUGUUUCUGCUUAUUAGCAUUAGCUAUGUCGUGCUUAAGCUGUUCCAACUCUUAUUUAUCAUGAGCCCGCUUGGCAUCAAUUUUCUGCUGCUCAGAGACGCGUUCAGUUAUUCUCUGGUCCAUAUGUGGAUCAAUUUAGCGAAAACAAAGUAGACAAUAAUAGAUGGAUGUAAUUUAAGCUAAGGAAUUAAGGAAACAUCUGAGGAACUCUUCAAAAGAUAUUUUAGCAGUCAAGAGUUCUACUGUUCAACAAUCAAACACCGAGCCUUAUUUAUUUACUAAAAUUUUAGGAGUAAGAUAGCCUGAGGGAUGUAUUUACACAUUUUUCACGACUAUUGACAAGAAAUCAUUCCCCAGUUUUACAAUUAAAUGAAAGCAUAAACUAAAAGCACUCGUUCAAAAUGAAUUUUUUUAAAAAAAAAAAUAGUGAAAAAGGAUAUCUUGUAGCAUAAAUCUGACCUUUUGAAGUUCUUCUUCCUUAAUGUUAAUAGAUUUUGUAUUCUGCAUAAUUAUGCUCAUAAACUUCAACUUUGAGCGUCGAUGGUCAUAAAAGCCCCCCGUCAUACCACCUUUCUUGCUUACUUGAUCACCUGAUCAGUAGUAAGUUGUUAAGGCAUCUCGAUCACAUAUGAAGGUCAUUGUGUGAAAUAAAAAAUAAGAUUUCUAUGCUAACCAUCACAGUUCUGCAGUCCAAACCAUCAGUUCGGGCAACUCUUGUGGCCACAUCCAAAUCUCGACAGAUCACAGUUCUAGCAAAUACCUGGAGAAAAAGAAAGAAUAAGUAGCAAUAUAAGCAUGCAGCACAUCCCAUAUACACCACUGCAGGAGUCGUAUCAACAUCAUAACAGUUUUAGCUCAUGCAAAUUUUCAAAACGUUUGAACACAUUUAUAUACAAGACCAAUGGCAUCAAUAACAUUUCACAAUCCAAGAACAAACCAGUCAAAUAAUUUAAGUAUGCACAAAUAUCACAUCAGGGAAAAAGUGUUUCACUGCACAAGUCUAGCACUGUGGUUGGGGGUGGACGACAGUAGCAUAUGUGUAGGAUAAUUAGAAAUAUGAACCUUAAACAAGAAUCUACUGUGGUUGAGAAACUUGGAGUGAGUAAAUAAUUUUGUAAUAUAAAAAGGAUUUUGCUUUUGUCAAUGCAAUGGAGUAAUAUGAAAAAUAAUUCCGUAAGAAAAAAAGGAAAGGAAUAUUAGUACUUGCAGGGCUCUAAACUAUGACUAUGACUAUGGCUUGGCUAUGCACACGCAUGCCUUCCAUACACAUACAUGGAUGGAGACAAAAAAAAAAAAAAAUACUAAACGUCAUUUUUAUUUCUUUUCUGAAAUAAUGGAAGUAAUAACAAUGAUGAAGGUAGUAAAUAAGGGGUGAAUAAAUAAUAUAAUAUAAUAUAAUGAAACCGUAGGAGCGGCUGGGAGUUCGGAUCCAUUAUUAACUGUUAUAACAGAAUUUAUUAUUACUUCUGCUUCUACUCCUUCUGCUCUAUUGCCAACGUUACCAUUAAACUGAUUAUUAUUUUCAUACAUAUUGCAUCCUUCACUUUAUAGCCUUCGCUUACUUUUUACAGUUAGUGCCGGUCACUAUCCAUCCUUAGUACAAGCUUCUCCCUACAAGCUUCAACACCGGGCCCAUUGGCCACAAGGUCUGCUUACUUACCGUUUAGCGAUAUAAUCAAAGAAGUCUUUUUUUGUACUGCGUUGAUUAGUGUUCCAAAACAGAAGAAAUACAAACUUAUUUGAUUGAAAUUGAAGAAAUAAAGAUAGAAACAUAUAAUAAAUUUAUAAGAUUUUAUUCUUUCAAAACAAAAUUAAAAUUAUGUACAUUAAAACUAAAGAAACGUCCCUAUAAGAUUAAUCAUCUUUUUAAACUAAAUGACUUUUUGAUCGCGGAGAUCUUAUCCAUAUAUAGUUAUCUAAACUCAUAUGAAUUUUCUACAUAAAAAUAUGGACGGUUCAUCACACCCAUGAUUUCACAUAUUCCGAUAGAAUUAAAGUCAGAAUCAGUUAACAAAACUAUUCAAAUUCUAUUAAAAAAAGGUGUCACAAUCACUCACCAAGUGUAACGCCACUACUAUUAUAAAACCAAAUACUUACUCCUCAUUUUAGUCAACAAAUUGCAAGUGAUCACCUCUGUCACUCAUACUAGGUUUUGGAUGAGUAAGCACUAGUUGAUGUUGUUACAAAAGGUACGAGGAUGUUGUUUAUAUUUCUGUGAAAUAAUUCGCUUUAUUCUUAAAUCAAUUAUAUAUGUGUGUGUGUGCGCGUGAGAAAUAAUUCGCUUUAUUUUUAAUGAACUCUAUAUGUAUAUAUAUAUAUAUAUCUUUUGAUAGUUUUGAAGUCUCUAAGAGUUUCUUCAAAGGCAAGAAGAUGUCAAGGAUUUCAAUCCCUAUAUAGUGGGAUUUCUCCAGCUAUGCUGUCUUGCAACUAUGAUUCAAGCUAAAGGAGAUUACAUAAAAUACAAAGACCCGAAACAACCGACUAACAUACGAAUAAAGGACCUAAUGAGUCGAAUGACAUUAGCAAAAAAGAUUGGUCAGAAGACAUAGAUAGAGCGAUCUGUUGCAACUGCUGAUGUCUUGAAGGAUUACUCUAUUGGCAGCAUAAUAAGUGGUGGAGGAAGUGCCCCUCACUUUAACGCCAAAGCUCAAGAUUGGAUUCAUAUGAUUAAUGGAUUCCAAAAUGUUUCACUCUCUAGUCGUCUUGGAAUUCCUAUGAUUUAUGGGAUUGAUGUUGUUCACGGGCACAAGAAUAUUUAUAAGGCCACCAUAUUCCCUCAUAACGUGGGUCCUGGAGCCACAAGGUAAGAUAUCAUUUACCUUCCGAAAUUAUGUUUUUGAUUUCGAGAGUAUUACAUGUUAGUUAUCACCUUUUCUUGUUCCAAAGAAUUUAGAGAGUUUUAUGUAACGUUUUGAAUUAAAAAAAUAGGGAAAGGCAACUAAGCUCUUGGAGGCUUAAAGAGUGGGUAAAAUUAAAUGAGAGGUAUUGUGGUAAUUGAAUAAUAGUUGAUAAAUAUAAAUAUGAAGUAAAAAAAAAGAGGGAUCUGAAAUUUUAAGAGAGAACCGGCAGGAGUGAAGUGAGAAAGAAGAAGAAGAGAAAAGAAGGAAAUUAGAAGGGAAAUAGAAAGGAGUUGGAGGAAACAAGUAAAAAAGGUAAGAUUAUGUUUUAAUGUGUAUAAUAUGUUUUCUUUUAGCUUUAAAUUUCUGUUUUGAUUGAACGUUAGGGUUUUUAAAAUUUGUGUUUUGGGUUAAUUGAUGAAUUAAUUUGAAUGUUAUAAGGUUGAUUGUUGUGGGUAAUUGAUUAUUUAGUUGAUUAUGGAAGAUUGUGAUGAUUUUGAGUUAUGAAUUGUGUAAAUGGUGAAAUUUGUGUUAGAAAUCAGGAGAUAACAGUAGGUAAUCUGUGAAAAUUCUGUGUUUGAGGUUGAAGAUGACAAAAUUUCGGUUUGGUCCCUCAAUUUGUGAAAAUUACAGUUUAGUCCCUAAACUUUGGAAAAUUACAGAUUGGUCCCUGGAGCAUAUUCCAAGAUUCUGAACAGAAUAAAAGAUGAAUUAUGGGCAGAAUUCCAGUAGAGUUAUGAAUUUUUAACACUUUCAAUUUGGUCCUCCAAUUUGACAAAAAUUACAAUUUGACCCUAAAAAUUAUUUAAAAUUCCAGAAUGGUCCUUGUAGCAUAAUUAGAGGUUCUGGACAGAAAUGAGUAUGAAUUAUGGACAUAAUUCCACUAUAGUCAUGAAUUUAUGAUAUUUUUAGUUUGGUCCUCCAAUUAGAUGAAAAUUACAAUUUGGCCCUAAAAAUAUGAUAAAAUUCAGAUUGGACCCUAGUUGUAAUAUUGGCUUUUUCAGAUUGGUUUGAUGAAUAAUUGAGGGUUAUUUAGUGAAUUAUUACCAAGUUUAUUAUUUGUUUUAUUAUGGAUCAGAUUUCGGGAAAACCAUUAAAUUUUGGGUUUUUGAGAAAAUUGACUAGUUAGUUAAAAAACAUAUAGGGUUACGGAAUAUACCCUUAGAUAAAUGUAUUAAAUAGGUUAUAUGUUCUUUUGAGUCAUUUUUGAAUAUGUCUCCUUUAUAUUCAGAUAAUCCUGAUAUUCUACCGGCGGGACGUUAGUAAGAUUUCCUUCGGUAUCUGCUUUGAGUUUUGUUUGCUUUCGAGUCAGGGGAGUGGAUAAUUUUCAAUAUGCAUGAGAAAUAUUAUAAAUAUUUGAUUUGUUAAUAUGAAUUGGAUCGUGCUUCUUGAUAAUACAUAUGUUGAUUAUUAUCCUUAUUAUGAUAAAACAUGAUCAAUUGUUGAAUCUGAAUUCUUGAUAUGAACCAGUAUAUAUUUUGAAUUGACUUCUGAAUUGAUAGCUCCUCAUUUGAUUGAUGUCAUGAGUUGAGUCUUGAGAUAUAAAUAUGUCUGUUUGAUUAUGAUUAUGAACCUAUGGUAUGUCAGUCAGAAUACCCAUACUAACAGGGUAGUGUUAGUCUUUGUGCACAUCGUAUCUGAACCCUAGUUGGUCGGGGGAGUCACCAACCUGUGUGGACUGAUCAUCCCAUAGUACGAAGCCUCAUGCUCAUUGCAUUUUGAUUUUCUGACGAGUUUUACCAUAUGAUAUUCUUGUUAUGGUCUAUUUGAGAAACCUUUCUAUAAGAACCUAGAGCCAUACUUGUAUAUAUACUUUUCAUUGUUGUAUUACCUCGUGUGUGUGUGUGUGUAUUGAACGUUAUCUACUCGUUGAGUUGUUGAACUCACCAUCUCAUUAUUUAUUCUUUUCAGGCUUAUAGCUUGAUAGUAGGUCAUUUUUGUUGGACCUUCAGAACCUGCUUUUUUGGUUGUAAUUUGUACCUUUCCAUUUAUGUCUAGUUAGUGCUCCAAAACUCUAAAUUUAUAUGAACUCUUGUAUUAAGACAAUCGAAUUAUAUUAUGAAGUUUAUUCUGUUAUUAGUGUUGUGUUGAACUCUGAUUGAGUUGUUUAAAGGAUAAGUUUGUAUGUAAGUUUGGGUUUGCAUAGGUAUGGAACCUUGGAGGGGAACCUUGCCUAUGUGCCGGUCAUGGAUCUGGGAUUCGGGUCGUGACAUUUUACAUGAACAUGGUUUAUUGAACGAAAACUGUCUAGACCAGGACCGUGACCAAGUUUAUGCAAUAAAAAAAAAAGAUAUGCCUUUUUUUUUCAUAUAUAUAUAUUUGUGAUCUUAACAAUUCUUUAUUUCAGGGAUCCUGACAGGAUUGGAGCAGCAACUGCUCUUGAAGUUAGGGCUACUGGCAUUCCUUACGUUUUUGCUCCAUGCAUUGCGAUACGUAGUGAUCUAAAAGAAAGUUUGAAUCUUUGAUCAUAUCUCUGAGAUUAGGAUUUAUUUAUCUAUCGUUAUAAAACAUUAAUCAUCGGAUAACAAACAGGUUUGUAGAGAUCCUAGAUGGGGUAGGUGCUAUGAGAGCUAUAGUGAGGAUCCUAAAGUUGUUGAAAUGAUGACAGAGAUUAUACCUGGAUUGCAAGGUGAUGUUCCUCCAGAUUCCAGAAAGGGUGUUCCCUAUGUUGGUGGAAAGUAAGUGUGACUUAAUUUAAACAUCAAUAUAUAUAUAUAUAUAUAUAUAUAUAUAUAUAUAUAUAUAUAUAUAUAUAAUUUAAUGUUUAACCUUGUUACAGGGACAAAGUUCCAGCCUGUGCGAAGCACUUUGUUGGCGAUGAGGGCACCACCAAAGGCAUUAACGAGAAUAAUAUUGUUAUUGGCUACCAUGGAUUGAUGAGCAUUCAUAUGCCAAGUUAUUUUCACUCCAUUAUCAAGGGUGUCUCAACUGUUAUGGCUUCUUACUCAAGCUAGAAUGGACAGAAGAUGCAUGCCGAUCGUUACCUUGUUAAGACUGUUCUCAAGGAUAUCCUCAAGUUCAGGGUAUUCUGAUGUUGUUGAUUAAAUUAUGUAUCUAAAACUAAGUCAUAAAAUAUUAUGAAAAGCAAACAAUUCUAACCUUUUGCUUUCAUUUUUUGAACGUCACAGGGUUUUGUCAUCUUUGAUUGGAAGGGUAUCGACAUGAUUACUUACCCACCUCAUUCAAACUACACAGAAUCAGUUCUGAAAGGAAUUUCAGCCGGCAUUGACAUGGUUAGUUGAUUCCUACCUCUCUAUUCUCAAAGACUAGCAGAAACUUGCCUAUUCUUGUCAAACAAAAUGUUUUUUAUUCUGGUUGAUUAGAGCUGCUGCUUUUCUUGACAUUGAAGCUUUAACAUGUGUGUUUCAGAUCAUGGUUCCAUACAACCAUACUGAGUUCAUCAAUAUUGUGAUUGACUUAGUAAAUAAUAAUUACAUUUCCACGGACCGUAUUGAUGAUGUUGUCAAGAGGAUUUUGCGAGUGAAAUUCACUUUAGGUCUAUUUGAGACUCCCUUAGCUGAGGAGACCUUGGUUGACCAGCUCGGAAGCCAGGUAGCUUUAUAUGUCUGAAUCUAAGCAUUCCUUUCCCAUUUCAGGAGAUUACUUAUUUGUCUGAAAACUUGCCACUUGUUAUGAAAACAAACUCACAGAGAUUUGGCAAGGGAAGCUGUGAGGAAGUCACUUGUGUUGUUGAAGAAUGGAGAGAAUGCAGAUGCUCCAGUUCUACUCCUCCUUAAAAAAGCCUCCUUGUAGUUGGAAGCCAUGCUAAUAAUUUAGGCUAUCAAUGUGGAGGAUGGACUGCAACUUAGCAAGGAGUUGAUGGCAACAAUUACACUGCUGGUAUAAUUAAUAUGCUUCUCUUUUUUGCUUCCAUUUCAAGCACGAUUCUCUUGAAUUCAAGUAUAAUAUAUAGUAGCAGUAUUGAUGGAACUUGUCCUAUCACACAAUGAGCAGGAACCACCAUCUUAAGUGGUAUCUCAGCCGCAGUUGAUCCAAGCACAGAAAUCGUCUACAGCAAGAACCCUAAUGCUGAUUUUUUCAAGUCCAACAACUUCUCUUAUGCCAUUGUUGUGGUCGGAGAGACUCCUUAUGCUGAGACAGCCGGAGAUAGUUUGAACCUGACCAUAGCUGAGCCAGGUCCGAGUACGAUCCUUAAUGUCUGCGGCAAUGUUAAAUGCGUUGUGGUCACAGUAUCUGGCCGUCCAAUCAUGAUUGAGCCCUAUGAGUCACAAAUCGAUGCUCUUGUUGCUGCUUGGUUGCCAGGCGCUGAAGGCUAAAGAGUAGCAGAUGUGCUUUUCAGGGAUUAUGGAUUUACUGGAAAGCUGCCCUGGACUUGGUUCAAGACCGUUGGUCAGCUCCCUAUGAAUGUUGGUGACUCUCAUUACGAUCCCCUCUUCCCCUAUGAUUUUGGACUCACUACUAAGCCUGUCAAUGCUAGCUAGGAAAUGUGCUUUUGAAGAACAAUAGGUUUCAACAUGUCAUGUAAUGUUACAUUGAUCAAGGCAAUUGUAGAAAGAUUUGUUUGGCUGUUACAUGAAUUAUAAAUAGCAUUAAAAACUAUAUUUACUAAGAAUCAAACUGAUCUUCGGUUACUCAAUCAGUUUUGAUUGAGAAGAGAAAAUUUCUCUUCAGUUACACAUUCAGCAGAGGAAAUCUCUCUAAUAGCAAUAUUAUCAGAACUAAAGUAAAUGGUCUUCUUUGGUAUCGCCACAGUAGCUUCAGGUAGUCUUUAGCUCUCUGGGCAGCUAGCACACAUUAAUUCUUGGAUUCCGCAUGUAAAUCUACAGUCAUCCUUUGAUUCAGCUACUAUCCCAUGCUGAAUUUCUUAACAUGCAGAAAAAAAAUCAAAAUAACUUCUUUAUAAACAAACAUUUGGAUUUGAGAUUCCUGUGAUUAGAUAAAUUCAUCAUUUAUGCUUCAAAGAUACAUCUAUUAACAGUUUUGAUAAGUCUUUCCCCAUAAUUGUAGAUUAUUUAUUAAUUGAUUCGUCCCUACACACACACACAUUACUCCUAGUAUGAGAACUGAGAAAUUAGACCAUAGAUAGAUUCAGGGGAGCCUGCCACUCAAAACCCUAAUAUCUGCAUUUUGCUGGUCUGUGAAGUCUGGGUACAUCUACACUGACAAGAGAGGGACUUGAUGGAGCCUGCCUCUAAAAAUCAAUCAUACUUUGGGAUUUAUUACUAAAAUUCAUACACAUUUCAGAAUUUAGUACAAGAAUUCAACCUCUUAACUUUUCUGGGACACUCUAGAACACGCUAGCUUGAUUAUCACGGAAGUUUAUUAUUUUUUCAUUUCUUUUGUGAUAGGGGGCAUGGUUUUAAAGCAUCAGCGAGAAAGGAUUUACAGUGAGUCAGAGCUGGCAAAAGCAACGAACAAUUAUGAUGAUAAUCAGAAACUUGGCCAAGGUGGUUUUGGCUGUAUACAAAGGAGUUUUACCAGAUUAUACCCAGAAGUUUAAGGGAGUAGACAAGGCUCAAAUGAACGAGGAAUUUCAGCAUGAAAUUGGCUACCAGUCAAUCGCAAGAAUGUAGUCAAAAGCUUUUCGGACUAUUUUUGCAGACCAAAGAGCCUUUACUAGUUUACAAAUUCAUCUCAAACGGAACCCCUUUUCAUCAUAUCCAUGAUAAAAGUCUCAAGUGUUGAGAUCUCGGACAAAACCGUUUGAGGGUAGCUGUUGAGACUGCACUUGCACUUAAUUAUUUGCGUUCUUUAGCAAACCCUCCAAUCGUUCACGGGGAUGUCAAGACAGUGAACAUACUUCCGGAGCUGAUUUUUGAGAUUCAGAGCUGAUUUCACCAAGUGAAGCUGAUAUAGCCACAAAAACAUAGGGGAAUUUUGGCUACCUGAAUAGUAAGUGUCUUAUGACAGGUAAUUUAACAGUAAAGAGUGAUGUCUUCAGCUUCGGAGUAGUUCUUGUGGAGCUUCUGACAGGACAGAAGCCAAACUCUAAUGCCUGGAGAGAACCGUAAAAUCAUUUUCAUCUCAUCGUUGGAAAACAAUCAUCUCCUUAAAAUUUUAGAUUUUGAGGUUGCUAAAGAAGAACCAGAGGAGAUAGAAAUGGUUGCUGAGCUUGCAAAAAGAUGUAGAAAUAGCGGUGUAAAAAGGCCAAGCUUGAAGUAUCUGAUGAGCUAUCUAGGCUAACAGCACUUCAUGAAUACUUGUGGGGUCAGAAAAAUAGUGAAGAGAUAUAAUCUUUGCCAGGCAAAUCAUCACUCUUCUCCAUGAGAAUGCAAGUCCUUCAAUAAGUGAACCUAAGACAGACAGUCAUUUCCUUAGAGAUUGAAAAUUUCCUUAUUGAAGUCCAGAAAGUCCGCUACAAUCACAAAGUCCAAAUUAAAUGCUACGUUGAAGUGGUCUAGCAUCGUCCUAAAUCACUAGGAUCAAAAUUAUAUCACAUCUCAGGAAUGGCCUUUCGGUCCAUAUUAAACUUGAACAGGAACAUCCGGCCACCAUAGGGUAUUUGCCAUAGCAGAAACAGAGUAGAGAUUGGGACUUUUACCCAUAAAUUAGCCUACAAGACAAAGACAAUAAUCCCAGCCUUUGGCGCCAUUAGCAACAAUCUGAGAGGGACUGUAACAAACCAGUUUCCAUUUUCCUUCAGUGGAUGACCCAGAAACUCAAGCAUUCAAAGAUGUCCCUUCUAGGCACACCAAGAUCACUCCAUUUCUUCUUGUGAUUUGCUAUAUUUUCCCAGGGUGAGAAGAGAAAUAAUAAGAUUAAGGAGAAAGUGAGCAAGAUUUAUAUAGAAGAAAAAACAGUGACAGCGAUAGCUUAAAGCAUUUCGCAAAACAAAUACCGAAACAAAUGGUCCUAAGUUUAUCCAAGAACAUUAGGAAAAAGAAAAGGAAAGGAAAAACUUACAGAGUCGAGACGCGUUUCUUAUUAAUGGAUCACCAAGUCUUGAAAGGGACCAAAGGUUCGACGUCAGAUGAUGAUAGAGCCUGAUCAACUUGAAAACUGCUGCAAGUAAUUGAUGUAGAAGCAUCAUCCCACGCACUGACUACUUCAGCCGUGAUGCUCUGAUCAGCUUCUUCGUUAUUUUGUUGAACGUCCUUCUUUUGUGACAAUGGAAUGAUCCUCUCCAACUCUGAUGUGACUUGUUUCAUUGUCGGUCGCUUUUUUCCGUUCAAAUUCAAGCAUCUCUCUGCAAUAUUAGCUACACCGAUGACAUCCUCCUUGGGGCAGUGCUCCUUAAUUUGAGCAUCAACAAUAUCAAAAAUUCUGUUCUCUUCCAUCAAAAGAACAAAAUGUGCAGCCAAGUUUGUGUGUUCUUGUGACUCGUUUGUAAGAAUUGCUUUUUGUCCAGUUAAGAGCUCAGCAAGAACUACUCCAAAACUAUAAACAUCACUCUUAUCUGUAAAUCGACUGGACCAAAAGUAUUCUGGGUCCAAGUAACCAAAGGUGCCUUGCACAUUAGUCGUCAAAUGAGUUUGAUCAACGGAGAGUGAUCUUGAAGUCCCGAAAUCGGCAAUCUUUGCUCGAUACUUGUGAUCUAAGAGUAUGUUGGUGGACUUUAUAUCUCGAUGAUAAAUUGGAAUGGAAGCUGCUGAGUGAAGAUAGGAAAGUGCUCCGGCAGUUUCAGCAGCAAUCUGUAAUCUCAUUUCCCAUGAUAAAGGGAACUCCUCAUUUUGGCGAUGGAGAUACUCGGAAAGAGUUCCAUUAGGAAUAAAUUCAUAAACUAAAAGAGGAACUUCUGCCUCCAAACAGCAACCAAGUAGCCUGACUAUAUUUCUUUGGUUGAUUUGUGAAAGAAUACAGACCUCGUUGAUGAAUCCUUCAAGGUUUUCUUCACUCACCAUUGUGGACCUUUUGACCGCAACAAUUACUCCAUCUGCUAGCAUCCCUUUGUACACGGUACCUUGGCCACCUUGACCAAGUAUCCUAUUCACAUUGAAACCAUCUGUGGCAGUUUCCAACUCCUCUGAGCUAAAUACUUUGGUUUUGGAAAUACCUUGAUCACUUGAGGAUAAUUGUUGCUGUAACAAGAGACCACCAUUCUGUCUGAAAAACUUCUGUUUCAGUUUGAUGCUCUUCCUUUUCUCCAUGAUUUUGUACAGCCACCAACCACCAAUGAGCAGUAACAACACUCCAACCACUCCAACAACAACUGCAUUUCUCAAAAAAAAAAGUUUAACGUUCACAUUUAACGUUCACAUUAAAAGUGUAUUUGGGAAGAUGGUAUAACCCGCAUUCCUUUUAAAUAAAAACAUCAGAAGCAAAAACUUUUAAUUUUGUUUUAGAAGAUCGGUUGUAAGAUCCAGAGACAUAAGGACUCAAGAAAAUUAGUGAGCCCAAAACAGUUCAUAAUCCAAGUAUGGGAAAUUUUUUUCUAAAAUAAAAAAAAUAUUAAAAAUUAUCUAGUAAAAUAAAAGGAAAACAAUGUUUAAACAAGAAGUGUGACUUUUGGAGUUUUUUUAUUUCUAAAACUCUACUAUUGAAGAUUUUUAUAUUUUGGAUAUUUUUUAAAAUAAAAAAUAAACUAGUUUUUUAAUUAGUCUAAUUUUAUAAUUGAAUUAUAUAUUUCGGUUCCGGUUUGAUUAUUUUUUUCUAAUCCAAAAGGCAAAGCCCUAGUAAAUGAUGCAGGUUGUUGAUAGCCUAACUUAUUGUUUUGGACUUUUGGGUGGAUUGAUGGCUUAAUUAAUAAAUUAAAUAUAGGAUAUUUGAAAAACAAGGAAUACCUAUCACUGCCACGUAUUGAAGUGGAUGCACAUUAAUUACCUGAAAUAAUAAUUGUGAUGAUGCCAAACCCACGGCAACCUCUUUUGCCAUCACCUCUCAUGCCAAGUGGACAUUUACAUUCGUAAUCCCCAAUGGUGUUAUGGCAUUUACCUUGACAUGGGUAUCUCUUGCCGGCAUCCUUGCACUCAUCGAUAUCUGUCAACAUGACAAAUUAUGAAUUGACCUUAAUUCAACACGAGUAAAAGUUCUAAGAAGUUCUGUGAAGUUGUUUUGUUUCAUAAUUUGCCAUGACUCUGGACUUUGAAGUUGUUUUGUUUCAAGGAUAUCUGAGAAGAGGAAUGAACAAUCUUAUAAUUUCAAUCACUUAGCUACUGAAGGCAUCUGUCACUUUACCUUGGCAUCCUUUUUCAAGAUAUGGGUUUCCUUCGAACCCUUCAUUGCAUGCGCAGCGAUAUCCUUGACCAUUAUCGGAGUAGUAGCAAUUUGUAUUGAUGCCACAAGCAUAUGAGCUCUUAUUGGCCCGAGCCUCUUCGCAUGUCUCGGUUUGAGCUACCCAUUCGAUCACAACAUUUGAUCUAUCAAAAUCUGUUGGAGUUCGAGAGAGUGGCCAAUCCGAGAGGUUGAAGGAGACUUUCUCCUGAAGGAAAGCAAAUCCACAAGGGUUAAAUUCGGAAACAGUCGUGUGGUUGCGAAGGCUCUGAACGGUAAUAUUCAGUGACUUGAGACCCUUGGGAAUCGAGGUCUGGCAGCAUCCAGAACCUGAGCAGGAAUUCUCCUUUGACAUGGUAGCAUUUACAGUACAUAAAGAGAGACAACCAACCCCGGAUGUCGCCUCCUUGUUGGUCCCCAUAGCAAUGGUAUCACAACCAACUGCUGUGAACAUAUUUCUUGACUCUGAAAUUGUGUAGGGGUCUAUAAGAUCCAUAGACAGAUUGUAAAGCCUCACCUGCUGCCCUGACUUGUCGUAGCAAUCAAAUGCUGGAACAAAGUCUAUAAUGACUGUGCCCUCCUCCACCGAUAUAUGGCGAGCAGGCACGAAUCCAAACCACAGUUCAUGAUGACCAUCAUCAGUUGAAGUGCAUCUUAGAAAGAAGUUAGAAUUCAUGGCACAUCUUUGUUCCCCAAUCCCAAACGGGUAAGGAACAAUAACAUCCCCACACCUUUCUUGGCAGCCAUCUUUCACAUCUGGAUUUGCUGUUGCUCCUGUUAUUGCAGCCACCACUAGUAGCAACAUCAUCGGCAAAAGACCCCACCUCUGAAGUAUCAUUUUCUAAGCACAACCCAACUUGAUAGAUGUAUAUAAAGCAGCUCCAAACGUUCUUUUUUUGUUCUUUUUUUCUUUUCAAUGAAUCAAGAAACUCGUUCAAGGAAGAAUUGUUACAAAAUGGGGCCACACCUAGAUAGGAGUCCCCCGUUGACCUUACCGGAUUCCAGAAUUACGGGGAUGUAUGAAACCCCAAUGAAACCAACCAUCUUAGCGAACUCCACCAAUUCUUUUUUUUAUAUAAAAAAGAAGUACUCCACCUAUUCUCUCAGCUACCAAAGAGAGAAAAAUAAACGCUGCCUUAAAAUAGUCGAGCAUUAUACUAAAUCACCGACAUCAAAAUUACUAAAUUCUAUCUUUCAUUAUCUCAGAAAUGGGAAAGAUUAGCGUUGACAGGGGAGCUUUGGCAGCAACUUUCGCAGGUCAUUUUCAGCUCUUGAUGUGCCUGCAAAUAUUGAAAUUAGCAUAGUUUUUAAAUCCGGGUCAAAGUCCAUGUCACGGGUUCUGCCAGGGUCAUCGGGUUUUGAUCGGGCCAGUACCCAAGUCAACCUCAAUUUUUUUUAUAAAUCAAAACAUCAUUUUGGUUAAAAAAACAAAUAGUCAACGGGUUGUAACCGGGCUUUUGAGCGGGUUUUGCUGAGUCACCCAGAUUUUUUACUUCUAUUAUUUUAUUUUAAACCCGGUACAGUUCCAACCCCGAGUCAGUCGGGUCCCGAGUCAACCCAUCGGGCCGGGCCGGGUUUUAAAACUAAGAAAAUUAGAAUGAAAUCUGUUUUUCAAAUUAUUUUUUGUUUGAAAAUAUAUAAAAAUAAUUUUUUUUAUUUUUUAAAAUUUAAUUUAAUAUCAACAUAUCAAAAUAAUUAAUUAUUUUUUAAAAAAAAAUCAUUAUGAAAAGAGAGAAAAUAAUUUUGUGUUUGGAUGAGAGAGAAUUUCUAAUCUAUUUUUAGUUUGAAUUUAUAAUACAUUAUAUAAGAGUGUAGUUUAGUUUUUUCAUUUAAUUUGAAAAUUUGAGUUGAUUAAAAAAUUUCAAAAUUCAAUAUGCUAAUAUAAUUUGAGUUGAACACCCAAAACAUAAUUUUUAAAAAUUCAAUAUGCUAAUAUAAAUUCAACCAAAUUAUACCAUUUUAAGGGUAAUUUUUCUAAUUUAAAAUUUGUAGUAAGAAACCAUCACCAUCGUUAUCAUCAUUAUUAUUAUUACUACUACUACUUCUAAUAUUGUUGUUAUUUUUAAAAGUUCCCUCUUAACUGCUUCCUUUUUGUUUCUUUUGAUUAAUUCUCUCAACUACCGCCUCUUUCUCUGAUGUAAAAAACAACAUAAUAUUUUAUUAAAAAUUAUAAAUUUAUUCACAAUUCUCAUAACAUAUAAUAAUAUAUAAUUAUAUCUAAUUAUCUUCUCAGCUCAUUCAACUCGAAGUCGAGCUUGUAAUAUCCAUGUAGGUUUGAGGAGAACUAAUAUCAUUCAAGCUUGUGGAUGAACUUGGGUAGCUCGUGGACCAGAUCUAGGUCGCUUGUGGACGGGCUAGCAUCCUCAACACCCCUAUGAUAAGCAAUCUCAUCUUUUGUUAAUAUUACUUCAAGACGCUUAACCUCCCCAACCUCUUGAAGUCCGCCACGAUAUAAAUUGAACAUGGUGUUAGCCAUAAUGCAUCUCAUCUCAUUGACAUCUUCACAGAUAAUCAUUGCUACUUUCCGAGCUUCAUGUACCAAGUAAUUAAUCUAUAUACAUACAUUAAAAAUCAAUUAGUAGUCAUCAUCCAUAAUAAAACUAUCCUGGUAUUUAAUAAAUAAAUAAAUAAAAUAUUGCAUAGUAAUUGAUUCUGUCUUGGAUACCGGGAAGCACAACGCAUCAGGUUGCAUGGACGUCUCGGGGAAAGCGAUUAGGCCGGUGUAAUAAAACUGUGUAAGGACAGAUACCAUAUCAUGUAGGUAUCUAUAUCAAUUGUAGGUUUCCGCUCCUAAAAAUCAUAAUCUCUCCUAGCAUCACAAAGAAUUACCAACCAUCUCCCUGUGCAGCUCGUCUCAUGUAUCAACAUAAUCUAAUCUAAUCCAUGCCUGUAUCAACAUAAUCAUCUGUGGUCGCAAGGGGCCAAUUCUUUUAAAAAUUCUGUCCUUUCAUUGUUUUUAUUCCUGUUGGAAAAUAUCUCAUCCUAAGUCAUGGUCUUCAUGACAUAGGAUGGGGUAUUUUCCUAUUGGAAAAUAUCACAUCCGCUUUCAUCUCUUUGAAAAACUGCAGUGCCAUGGACUUCAUGCUGCCCCUUCAUCAAGAACACAUGCUCGAGCAGUUCUUUGAAGGGGGAUGCGACUGUGAGAAAUGGAUUUUCGAGGAAUAUUACUUCCUAACCAAAGGAAAACUUGUGCGUGGAUUUUAAUUGGGAGAAAGCAUCUAGAAGCGUCAUGAAGGCUGAUAGAAAUCCAUUCAGCAACAGUGCCAAGAAAGAGAAUUUUUCCAAUAUUUAAAUAACAGAACAUAUUGAAAAACAUGGUUUGCAUACUUGCCUAGGUAAAAGAUCCGCUCAGCUGCAGAUCUCCAAGGUUUCCAUCAAUUUUGAUACUGAACUAGUUCCUAGGCUAAUAUUGAAGAGACAUGAGAAGCUGUGCUAAUAUAGCUCUGAGCUGUUUAACAUCUAUUUACAUUCUUAAGAUUCCAGCUAAGAAAAUAUAGUACAUGGUAACAGCAAACAAAUUUAUCACGGCAUCCUCGUAUAGAUCGAUUUAUCAGUCCUCCAUCAGACCAUCAGAGUUUGGCUGCACCAGCCAUAAAGAUGAAAUCAGAUCAUUUCAGUAAUGGUUCAUCACUGGAAAUCAAUUUCACCAAAUCCAAUAUCUCACUCAAUUGAAAAUAUCAAAUAAACAAGAAAAUGCUAGUGUUAAAAAUAUUCCGACCUUAUUCGACAUUAUGAGAUUGGUCGUGCUCGAUAAAAUCUAUCGCAUCUUCCUUGGAGACAACAUUGACACGGCUCACCCUGUUUUUGUGUGUCACCCCAUAUAACUUGUCAGCAACCUUCACAAGUUCUGGCCUGAAAGUGGUGGUUAUAAAUUGUGUGUUGGCCAUAUCAGCCAGGCGACGAAUCAUGUCUGGCGAACAAAGUAAUUAAGGAUCACCUCCAAUGGUUACAUCUGAUGAAUAAACAAUAGCUAAACAGCCAAAACAAGACCACAAAAUAGAAACCAUUAAAGCUUUAGGGAGAUGGCAAAACAACAACGUAGAAAUAGGAUACUUCCAACAGCAGUCCUGUACUGGGGAUCCAGUGCUGCGUCUAUCUCAUCAAAAAGAUAAAAAGGAGCAGGAUCACAUCGUUGGAUGGCAAAUAUCAAUGUCAGGGCUACUACAGUUUUCUGACCCCCUGAUAACUGCUUCAUUGAUUGUGUUUCCCCUUGCCCUGUAAAUGAAACCUACAUACCAAAACCAACUUGAGGAUAUUUAAAUUUGAGCAUGCCCAUAUUCUUGAGGAUAGAAGAUGCCGUAGGAAAAAUACUUCUGCUCACCCUAUUUACUAGAAGGCAAAUUCAAAUGAAAACAAGAUUUGCAUGCAUUUCGUGGAGUAUUGUUUUUAACAAGACUAGCUGAAUCCUAAUCUCACCACUUUUUCAAAGUCAAUAAACAGAAAGUGCACUCAAAGGCUAUUUACUAUCCAAUCCAUCCUUUUUGAAAAAAAAAAUUUACUGUAUCCUCAUUUCUUAAAAAAAUAAACACGUAUAAAUGAAAGAACAAACACGUACCUUCACUUUCACACCUAUGUAUUUCUCAACCCUUCCCUCCAAAUCUGCCUCACGAGGUCCGUCAUCAUCAUAAUCAUCAUCCCCAUGAUCACCAUCCUGUCAAGAUAUCACAAAUGCAAGCCAUGCCAUUUUUAAAAUGCACUCCUACAAUUAUCUCAAAAUAUCAACAUCAAAGACCAAGAAGAAUACUGAUUAAACUUGGAAAACAAUAAAAAAACACAAAUGAAGAAUACAAGUGCAUUGUAGAAGAAAAAAUUGAUUUUGACUAGUUAUUUUGUCAACAUUUAAAAAAAAUUCAUCAUCACAGCAGGACAAACAGUGCAAAAGUUAGAUUUUGAGCAAGAAAAAAUAUGCUUAUGGGACACUAAGAAAGGAAUGGAUUUAUAAAUUAUGAACCAGCAUAUUGAUUAGAGCAGUUAAUAAAAAGUGAAACAGUAGUUAGAGAUGGGAAAAAAAAUGAAACUAAGGCUUAAAACACUCCUUUAACUAACCUUUUUCUUCAUCAUGACCAGAUGACCAUGACCACCCUGCACAAGUUCAGAGAAUACUUCGCGAAAGUGUCGAGCAACACCCUUGAAAGUGCGUUCUAUUGAUUCAUCCUUCCGCUGAUCUAGAGCAGAUAUAAGUUCUCUUAUUUUCUGCAAAAAGGCAUUAAAGUAAAGAUACAGAAAUCAUGAACUCAUGUUAAAAACAGUAAGUACAAAAGAAGAGAUUUAAAUAUAAAAUUCCAUACAAUACCUCGUCACCUGCUUCCAGUUCAGCUUGCCUUUUCUGAAGUUCCUCCCGUUGCUCUGUGAAGUUUACAUAUUGAUCUAGUGCCUUCUUGUUUACAUGGCUGAACUGCUGAAGUUGCUCAUUGCACCUAUGAAGCAUUUUAUGCAAAUCUUUCACGCCUCUCCGCUUAUACCUAUACGCUCCAAUACAGGAGAGUAUGUCAUUUAUCAAAAGAAACAAUAUAUAAGUGGAAGCAUGCAAACAUUACCUGUUUCAACAGGUACCAGGUACAUGCCAAGGCAAGACAAAAAAAAAUCAUCUUCGAAGAUUUCAACAUGAAUAUUGGCAGGAAAAACAGGCAGAAUAAAUCAAUUAAAAAAACCUCAGGGGUCUCAGUUGAUUACAAGACAUGACAGUUUAACAAUACAAUAAAACCCAAGCACGAGAAAACUGAAGCUCAGAUUGAAGUCAUUAUCACAUGAAGAAACAAUGAGGAAAAUUUGAAGUUCAGAGAGAAGCUAUACGUUUCAAAAGCAUCUGAUGACAAAGGACCCAGUUCCCUAAUUUUGUUAGAGUAUUCCUCCUGUUUAGCAAGAAAAAUACUUCGUUUACUCAAUAGCUGUUCCAGUUCUUUUGCUUCAUCUUGAAGUGUUUUUUCAUAUCUGUCUUCCAAAACCUGUAAACACAAGUUGUCAUCUUAGCUGCUGCAACAAAUCCUAAAGAUCAACAGUCUGCAAAAGGUGGCAAACCUUUAGUUCUGUCUUUUUAUCUUUUUUCUCCUUUAGUUCCUCCUUUAGUCUAUCUAUCUUGUCAGAAACUCCUGAGAAGAGUAACCAGUCAAAAAAAAUUCUUCUUAUAUUUAAAUAUUUAAAUCGAAUUUUUAGAAACUCAUAGCUCACUUUUGAGUUCCAGUGUUGUGACUUCAGCCAGUGAUUUAGCAUCGUUCAGUUCCUGCCUCUUCAAUUCAUCUUCACCAUGUAACGUGUCAGAGUCAACCGUUGAUAUUAUGGCUUCCAACUCUUGCUUCCGUCGUUUCAGGUUAGUUGUAAGAUUAGUCUCUAGUUCCGCUUUUCUUGUUUCAGUCUAUGUAAUGAAAAAUGCACAUUCAUGUGAAACAGAACACAUUCCACAACGGACACUACAAUUACUACUAGACAAGGUUGAGAUUUCUAACCUCGAUGCGAUCUGUUCUGCAGGUAAUAAGCUUCUCUUUAAGGUCUUUUAUUUCAGGGUUGAGUUGGGAUAGUUCAUAUUUUUCCUCUGGUGUUAAGUGAUCAAUGAGCUCUGUGCCCAUCUCAGCUUGUUUCAUGACCAUACUGGCAUUAAGCUGUUCUAUUUGAUUCC